GAUUUUGUAGUGUAACUGGUAGCACAUUUGACUAAUAAUUGAAAGAUUCCUCACUCGAAUCUGAGCAAAGGCA
This 73-nucleotide transfer RNA is filed under the name Stegodyphus mimosarum. It matches the Rfam family "tRNA". Rfam says of the family: Transfer RNA (tRNA) molecules are approximately 80 nucleotides in length. Their secondary structure includes four short double-helical elements and three loops (D, anti-codon, and T loops). The record is from Rfam by way of RNAcentral. Lineage: Eukaryota; Metazoa; Arthropoda; Arachnida; Araneae; Eresidae.